UACGUAGGGUGCGAGCGUUAAUCGGAAUUACUGGGCGUAAAGCGUGCGCAGGCGGUUUCUUAAGUCAGAUGUGAAAGCCCCGGGCUUAACCUGGGAACUGCGUUUGAAACUGGGAGACUUGAGUGUGGCAGAGGGGGGUGGAAUUCCACGUGUAGCAGAGAAAUGCGUAGAUAUCAGGAGGAAUACCGAUGGCGAAGGCAGGUCUCUGGGCUGACACUGACGCUCAUGCACGAAAGCGUGGGGAGCAAACAGG
RNAcentral lists this ribosomal RNA (253 nucleotides) under uncultured bacterium. RNAcentral's name for it is "partial 16S ribosomal RNA". It matches the Rfam family "Bacterial small subunit ribosomal RNA", at positions 524 to 776 of the family's 1533-position model. The record is from RNAcentral.